RNAcentral lists this small RNA (142 nucleotides) under Flavobacterium xanthum. RNAcentral describes it as "Flavo-1 RNA". It matches the Rfam family "Flavo-1 RNA". Lineage: Bacteria; Pseudomonadati; Bacteroidota; Flavobacteriia; Flavobacteriales; Flavobacteriaceae. The record is from RNAcentral.
UUUUAGCCCUGAUGGAAACGGAAAGCCCGGAGCGAAAAAGCUUGUUUUUCUUGUCCUGAAAAAGCGACCAGCGGAAGCUCUUUUCAGGACAUAGAAAAACAGCUUUUGUAGUGAGGACUUGCAGUGUACAGCAGGAAAUAGC